GACGAACGCUGGCGGCGUGCUUAACACAUGCAAGUCGAACGGAAAGGCCCUGCUUUUGUGGGGUGCUCGAGUGGCGAACGGGUGAGUAACACGUGAGUAACCUGCCCUUGACUUUGGGAUAACUUCAGGAAACUGGGGCUAAUACCGGAUAGGAGCUCCUGCUGCAUGGUGGGGGUUGGAAAGUUUCGGCGGUUGGGGCUGGACUCGCGGCUUAUCAGCUUGUUGGGGGGGUAGUGGCUUACCAAGGCUUUGACGGGUAGCCGGCCUGAGAGGGUGACCGGCCACAUUGGGACUGAGAUACGGCCCAGACUCCUACGGGAGGCAGCAGUGGGGAAUAUUGCACAAUGGGCGGAAGCCUGAUGCAGCAACGCCGCGUGCGGGAUGACGGCCUUCGGGUUGUAAACCGCUUUCGACUGUGACGAAGCGUGAGUGACGGUAAUGGGUAAAGAAGCACCGGCUAACUACGUG
Molecule: ribosomal RNA, 468 nt
Filed under: uncultured bacterium
Lineage: Bacteria
Description: partial 16S ribosomal RNA
Rfam family: Bacterial small subunit ribosomal RNA
Source: RNAcentral